Molecule: ribosomal RNA, 465 nt
Filed under: uncultured bacterium
Lineage: Bacteria
Description: partial 16S ribosomal RNA
Rfam family: Bacterial small subunit ribosomal RNA
Source: RNAcentral
GACGAACGCUGGCGGCGUGCUUAACACAUGCAAGUCGAACGGUAAGGCUCCAGCUUGCUGGGGUACACGAGUGGCGAACGGGUGAGUAACACGUGGGUGACCUGUCCUGCACUUCGGGAUAAGCCUGGGAAACUGGGUCUAAUACCGGAUAGGACCGCACCGUGAGGGUGUGGUGGAAAGUUUUUUCGGUGUGGGAUGGGCCCGCGGCCUAUCAGCUUGUUGGUGGGGUAAUGGCCUACCAAGGCGGCGACGGGUAGCCGGCCUGAGAGGGUGGACGGCCACAUUGGGACUGAGACACGGCCCAGACUCCUACGGGAGGCAGCAGUGGGGAAUAUUGCACAAUGGGCGGAAGCCUGAUGCAGCGACGCCGCGUGGGGGAUGACGGCCUUCGGGUUGUAAACUCCUUUCACCAUCGACGAAGGGUUUCUGACGGUAGAUGGAGAAGAAGCACCGGCUAACUACGUG